Molecule: ribosomal RNA, 413 nt
Filed under: uncultured bacterium
Lineage: Bacteria
Description: partial 16S ribosomal RNA
Rfam family: Bacterial small subunit ribosomal RNA
Source: RNAcentral
UGGGGAAUAUUGCACAAUGGGCGAAAGCCUGAUGCAGCAACGCCGCGUGAGUGAAGAAGGCUUUCGGGUCGUAAAACUCUGUUAUUGAAGAAGAACGUGUGUGACAGUAACUGGUCAUGCAGUGACGGUAUUCAAUCAGAAAGUCACGGCUAACUACGUGCCAGCAGCCGCGGUAUACGUAGGUGGCAAGCGUUGUCCGGAUUUAUUGGGCGUAAGCGAGUGCAGGCGGUCUUUUAAGUCUGAUGUGAAAGCCUUCGGCUUAACCGAAGAAGGCAUCGGAAACUGGGAGACUUGAGUGCAGAAGAGGAGAGUGGAACUCCAUGUGUAGCGGUGAAAUGCGUAGAUAUAUGGAAGAACACCAGUGGCGAAGGCGGCUCUCUGGUCUGUAACUGACGCUGAGGCUCGAAAGCGUG